Molecule: long non-coding RNA, 490 nt
Organism: Homo sapiens (human)
Lineage: Eukaryota; Metazoa; Chordata; Mammalia; Primates; Hominidae
Gene: ARMCX3-AS1
Product: ARMCX3 antisense RNA 1
Source: Ensembl
AGCAGACCUGCAGGAUGACAGAUCGAAAACAUGGAGACUCACCGUUUCGCAGCAUCGAAAUGGGCUGCAAGCGGGACAUAUGUCUUGGAAAGCGGGCGGCGAGUGGGAGAGACGACGGAGGCGCCUCAGUACCCGCGACGGUCUCGGCCCUACGCCCUCAAGCACCCCGACUUUAUGGAAUCUUCCAGGUACUGACCUGCAGGGAUUCGGGACAAUUUCCUUCUCCUCUUCCUUUUUCCCUCCGCCGCAGGCCGGCCCGCCCUCAGGGCAGUGGGGAGCUGGUACUCAGACGGGAACAACGACCAGGACAAGAAGGACUUCUGCACACGUCAGCUCUUGGUCACGUGAGGGCUACGUCAUCCACCAACUCGGGUCCCCAAUUUCCCCUCCCACCAGCAGUGCGGCAGAAGAGGGCCCGCCCCCCUCCUUUCCCUCCCCCACACCAGGCCUUAUUACUCUUUCUUCUUCGAUAAUCUCAUCACCUUGUAGU